AGGCUACUGCUAUUGGGAUUCGACUAAGCCAUGCGAGUCAAGGUGUCUUCGGACGCCGGCAUACGGCUCAGUAACACGUAGGUAACCUACCCUCAGGACUGAGAUAACCCCGGGAAACUGGGGCUAAUAUUAGAUAGAUAAAAGAUACUGGAAUGUUCUUUUAUCCAAAGCUUUUGCGCCUGAGGAUGGGCCUGCGUCCGAUUAGGUUGUUGGUGGGGUAAUGGCCCACCAAGCCUGCGAUCGGUACGGGCAGUGGGAGCUGAAGCCCGGAGUUGGGGACUGAGACAAGGCCCCAGGCCCUACGGGGCGCAGCAGGCGCGAAACCUCUGCAAUGCGGGAAACCGUGACAGGGGGAUCCCAAGUGCUCAUGCAUUGCAUGGGCUGUUCUUUGGUCUAAGUAACCAGAGGAGUAAGGACUGGGCAAGACCGGUGCCGGCCGCCGCGGUAAUACCGGCAGCUCAAGUGGUAGCCGCGAUUAUUGGGCCUAAAACGUUCGUAGCCGGAUAAGUAAGUCUUUGGUUAAAUCCUGCGACUCAACCGUGGGAAUUCUAGAGAUACUGCUUGUCUUGAGACCGGGAGAGGUUGGAGGUACUCCUAGGGUAGGGGUGAAAUCCUGUAAUCCUAGGAGGACCACCAGUGGCGAAGGCGUCUCACCAGAACGGACCUGACGGCAAGGGACGAAAGCUAGGGGCACGAACCGGAUUAGAUACCCGGGUAGUCCUAGCCGUAAACGAUACUCGCUAGGUGUCGGCCACGGUGCGACCGUUGUCGGUGCCGUAGGGAAGCCGUGAAGCGAGCCACCUGGGAAGUACGGCCGCAAGGCUGAAACUUAAAGGAAUUGGCGGGGGAGCACCACAACGGGUGGAGCUUGCGGUUUAAUUGGAUUCAACGCCGGAAAUCUUACCGGGACCGACAGCAAUAUGAAGGCCAGGCUGAAGACUUUGCCGGAUUAGCUGAGAGGUGGUGCAUGGCCGUCGUCAGUUCGUACUGUGAAGCAUCCUGUUAAGUCAGGCAACGAGCGAGACCCACGCCCACAGUUGCCAGCGUACUCUCCGGAGUGGCGGGUACACUGUGGGGACCGCCGCUGCUAAAGCGGAGGAAGGAAUGGGCAACGGUAGGUCAGUAUGCCCCGAAUAUCCCGGGCUACACGCGAGCUACAAUGGUUGGUACAAUGGGUAUCUACCCCGAAAGGGGAUGGAAAUCUCCUAAAGCCAAUCUUAGUUCGGAUUGAGGGCUGCAACUCGCCCUCAUGAAGCUGGAAUCCGUAGUAAUCGCGUUUCAACAGAACGCGGUGAAUACGUCCCUGCUCCU
RNAcentral lists this ribosomal RNA (1311 nucleotides) under uncultured archaeon. RNAcentral's name for it is "bacterial SSU rRNA". It matches the Rfam family "Archaeal small subunit ribosomal RNA", at positions 21 to 1337 of the family's 1478-position model. The record is from RNAcentral.